RNAcentral lists this ribosomal RNA (1380 nucleotides) under Triticum aestivum (bread wheat). Its description in RNAcentral is "partial small subunit ribosomal RNA". Lineage: Eukaryota; Viridiplantae; Streptophyta; Magnoliopsida; Poales; Poaceae. The record is from RNAcentral.
AUGAGCAAGAGGCGAAAGAGGAGCAACCUCGCCGGCCGGCAUCCCCUGCCCCAACGCCGCCGUGAAAACGAAUGGCGAGAUUGGCCCAACCUGCCGACGGCACUCGUCGAGGACAUCGCCGGCCGGCUGCUCAGCCACGACGUGGCCGAGUACAUCCGCCUCCGCGCCGCGUGCAAGGAGUGGAGGAGAUGCACCGACGACCCGCGCGAGGGAUGCAACCGCCUGGACCCCCGCUUCCGUCCCCGCCGCUGGAUCAUUCUGUCCAACCGCACCGAUGGAGACGGCCGCCGCUUCCUCAACCUCUCCACCGGCGCCAGCGCCCGCGUCGACCUCCCGGAGCUCUCCCGACACCACCUCGAGACCAGCACCGAGGGCCUCCUGCUCCUGCGCGACAAGGCGAGCCACGCUGUGCGCCUCCUCAACCCGCUCACCAGGGCCCUCACCGACCUCCCGCCAAUCACCGAGGACCUUGGCAGCGCAUACACUGUCUGGACCAUGGGACUGUUCCAGUCGGUGUCGCGCACCGUCUACGCCAGCGUGUCUUACGAGACCUCCCCGCCGUCAGUCGUGCUCCUGAUGGUUGACCGUGGUCGUGCCAUAGCCUACGCCAAGCCUGGAGACCAGCGGUGGGCGGUGAUGGAUGACGAGAUGUGGAGGCCCGACAACCCCAUGUCGUGUCGGUUCUCGUCGGCGUCGACCCUGCAGGGGCGCUUCUACUUCGCGACUCUCGAGGGGCACAUAAUGCAUGCCCGGCUCUGUCCCGAGCCUCGUGUGGUGCCCGUGGUUGUGGACCAGCCCAACACCGACUACAACAUGUUCUGCUACCUCGUACCUCCCGACAAAGACGACCACCGCUCCGGUGGCGGCAUGCUCAUGGUGCGUUACUACAUCAACCUGGACCACCUCAGCGCCGAUGAGCAAAGAAUCAUGAAGCGCAGGAGGAAAGUCAUGGACGUGAUCAGGGUGGAGCACCAGAUGAGGGAGAACCGGUGGAACCUGAUCCAGGUGUUUGAGGUGGAUGUGGCCGGGAAGAGACUUGUUCCGGUGGAGGACAUUGGCCAGCACCGCGCCGUGUUUGUCGGGGAUGUGGCGUGCUUCUCCCUCUCGGCCAGGAGGUUUCCAUGCGUGGCAGGGAACGCCGUGUACAUGGGGGCGCGCGGUGCCCGCUGCCCUCCCGUCGGCGUGCGGUAUCUGGCUGACAAGACCGCUGAUCCACCGUUUAAGUUCACCACCGACGAUCCACCGCUUUUAGAUGAUAUACCAGUGAAGCGGUACCGCCAGGGCAGACCAGAUCUGAAUCUAGUGCCUCUUGCUCGCCCCUGUACCCUCCAAGAGUACCUUGUCUGUUGCGCAGGCCUCCUCGGCGGCCUCAAAGACUAA